CCCUUCUUUGGGAUCAUGAAAUAAAGGCAAGUAGAAACAGUCGGUCUUGUGGGAUGGAACGGUUCUAUAGCCCCUUUUUGUAGGAAUGAGUCUCUCUCUUUCCACAGGGUGGCAUCUGGGUACAUGAUUGUGAUUCCAGAGUCUGAGUGACAUUCUAUAAGCUCUAUGACAUAACCUGAGCGGAUGAUGGUAAGUACCCAAAUUGUCCGUAGUGAUGUUCUCACACACUUCCAGGUAAGAUUGUAGACACAUUCCAGUAUGAGGGCAGUCAUGUUCACUUUGGUAGGAUGAGGACUCGCCUUGUUCUGGAAAGAUUUGUUGGAGGAAAAGGGUUUCUUCUUAAAUUGUUGGUAUCUUUUGUUGAUGAGAGGAGUGAUCCAACUGGGAGAUUUCCGAGGACAUGGAGGAUGGAGUUAUUUGCCCUAUCAAGCUUGGUAAAUCUUGAGUUAGAAAAAGAGGUUAACUUCAUAGAUUUGGCAGUAUUUCGGAGGUUUUGUACCCGCUCCAUUGUAUCAUCUGUUUUGGCCCCAAAUAAGUCUAGCCCAUCAAAUGGGAGAUUUUCAAUCAAUGUCUUUGCUUCCAGAGCUAACCCUGAUAAAGCAAAGCCAUGCGUGUGGUAGCAGUGCUAUAGAGCUAGCCAUGGUUCUGGCAGCACAGUCAGUGGAAUGCCUGGAUAUGUGCAGGAGUUGUUUAUUUAGCUUGAAUGCUUCAAGUUGUAGAGCAAGCACCACUUCCUUUUUCUAUGGAGUAAGGCAUCCAAAUGUUAUGAUAGCUUUUCCCAUAAGAGCUGGUUAUACCUGGACAUGCAUGUCUGGUAGUUAGCGAUAUUUAGUUGUAGUCAGGCUGUGGAAUAAAGACAUCUGCCACUGGAGUCUACGUUUCUGCCCUCUCUAUACAUCGGCACAGAUAGGGCCUUGUUCCUAGAUCUAAUUUGUGCUGCCUCCACAACAAUGGACUUUGGAGUGGGGUGUUUUUGUGGAAAAGGACAAUUGUCCAGUUGUACUUUGUAGAAGUUUUAAAUCUGUUUAAAUGUUAGAAUAACAGAUUCCGCAUUCUCUGCAGUGGUAAUAGCAGGAACGAUGACUAUCCUUUCAUAAUUCUUGUAAUACUGGUCUUUCUCCGGGACCAUACCGAUAAAAGAAGUAGUCAUAUCUAUUUGGUGAAUAGGAAAAAGAAGGGUAUGCAUCUCUGCAAUGUCUGUCCCUGUAUCUAUUCCGAGAAGAGGAUUGCUGGAACAGAUCUUCUUUUUGAGGUGGAGAAUAACCAGUUAGAGAUGACCAAAUCCUUGUCAGUGUUAAACUUGACUUCUUCUCUGUCUGUAUCCGCUAGGUCUGUAUCCGAAGGUAGAAUGGAUUCCCGAGGCUCUACUGGUACCGGAGCAGCUUUGUCGUCAGUACCAACAGGGUGCAGUGUUUUAUUUUCUUGUACUGGUUAGAGUGCUGGACUAGGACCGGGGAGACCCGAGUUCAAAUCCCCAUUCAGCCAUGAUACUAGCUGGGUGACUCUGGGCCAGUCACUUCUCUCUCAGCCUAACCUACUUCACAGGGUUGUUGUGCGGAGAAACUUAAGUAUGUAGUACACCGCUCUGGACUCCUUGGAGGAAGAGCGGGAUAUAAAUGUAAAAAUAAAUACAUACAUACAUACAUACAUACAUACAUACUUCACUAUGGAUCUGCAAUGCCUCUGCUUGGGUUCUGCAUUUGCAUGAAGACUGCUGCAACUGCCUUCUUUUUCUUUGGUAUUGAGGCCUGCAUCUGUUCAGGUUUUUUCUUUUUUUGUCUUUGGUUCCAACAGCAUCAAUGUCAAGGUAGGGGCAGGGUCCACUCACCCCUUGGUAUCCAUCACCAGUCCCAAGCAGCGUUCCCUCUAAGGCAUGUCCGUGUGUGAAUGAUCACACAUUUUUCUAUGUCCACUCAGUUAAUUUUAGAUCCCGCUCAGGUGGAUUCAGGAAGGCCUCACUCUUAAUGCACGUGUGCACACACUGCCUUGAGACUGCCACCCAGAACAAAACUCAUUCUGCACACAGAUGAAAAAAAUUAGAGAGAACACUGGUCCUAAGGGAGCCAGCAUUAUUUGUCCAGGAGUGGAUAGUAUCUAAGGGUUUGUUGAAGGAGGAACUGACAGUCAGAGGAAGUGUAGAGUGCUACAAGUCUGGGAUCAGAGUCCCAGUGCCCGAAAGCUCUGUAGUUUUGGAGGGAGCUUUAGACAGCAGGUGGUCGAUAGAUGCACCACCUACAAUUUCUGUAGGGCUCUCUUCCACAAUAGAGACCUGUCUGGAAAUUCUGUUACUUCACACUUGACUCGUGAAUUUUUGGCAGUGUACACACGAUGUGCAAUUCACCAAAGCAGAAGAGGCAGAGCUGAUGACCAUCAGAUGAAGGAAAUUUUACUCUACAAUUAGUGUAGCAUUUAAAUGUAGUUUUGUUAGCCAUAUAAUUAUGGAUUUAGUGAUCACCUGUCCCCUCAAAAGGAGGAGAAUGGGGAAAGGGGGAAGGGGGCAGGGACUCAUAGCAAAUAAAAAUGCAAACCAUUAAAGCAAGGAAGCUACUAUAACAAAAGAAACACUAAAGUUGAAGGAAACUAUAAGAAAAAACAAUAGAGAUAGUACUUGUUUUUCAGUAAAUAAGCUGGAAGCUUUCCAACAGGCCUGAGGUGGACGACGAAAAACCGAGCAGAAAGGAGCUAGACACAUGAACUCAAAGCACAAGGGGAGGAGCUACCGCCAAAAAGAAUAAGAGAGAAGAGACGCUUGGAAAGUUCCCAAACAAGCUUUUAUGCAAGUGCAAAGCCCAGUUGUGUGAUGGGCAAAAACCACCCAGAAGAAAUUCCAUUGUUUUUUGCAUAGGGGCACCAACUCUUGUCUUUGCAGUCUGAUCAGCACCUCUAUUCUCCUGCUUUCUCUAGUUUCAAAGAACUAAGUUGUAUGGGCUCAGUGGCAGAGCAUCUGCUGUGCAUGCAGAAAGUCCCACGUUGAAUCCCUGGCAUCUCCAGAUAGGGCUGGGAGAGAUUCCUGUCAGUCAGUGUAGGCAAUACUGAGCUAGAUGGACCAAUAUUCUGAUUUGGCAUAAGGCAGCUUCCUAGUUCCUAUGAUAUUGUAAACAAGUUGUUCUAGUAAGAACUAAUGUGCCUACUUUCCUUUCACUGUCUCUACAACUGGACCAAAUUUGGUUCAAAUCAAUGUCUACAAGUUAGAUCUCUUGUGCCUCAAAUGUUCAUGCGUCCACCAUCUUGGAUCAGGGUGGAUAACAUCAUUACCAAGAACACCAUUGAGGUGUCCCUGUGUGUCACUCACUACAACUGUACCAAAUUUGGUUCCAAUCAGUUAGACAGUCCUCAAGUUAGCCUACUUGCGCCUCAAAAGUUUACAUGUCCACCAUCUUGAAUUGACAUGGAUGACAUCCAUCACAAUCUACAUUGUUGAGGUGUCCCUAUGUGUCCCUACAACUGUACCUGAUUUGGUUCAUAUUGGUCCAGGCAUUACGAAGUUGAUGGGUGGGCCACACACACACACACACGGACAGAUACACACACACACACACACACAGAGAGAAUGCCGGGUGAUCUCAUAAUCCUCCCGGAAAGUAGGCUAAAAAGGAGAAAACAGCUGUCCCUAUUCAACCCAGGACAGUGUCUAGUGGCUGUGGCACUUGUGUUUCUUUUCAGACUGUGAGUCCCUUUGGGACAGGAAACCAUCUUAUUUCUUUUGCUUUGUAAACCACUCUAACUUAUUUAAUAACAAAUAAAUGUUAAAUAGUGGCAAGUAUUAAUACUAAAAAAGAAGGAAGUAUUAAAAUCUCUUGCAUCAUCAACACCCCAAUUCUAAAUAGACUGGACAUGCACUAAAUGCAAUCUCCAGUCAAAGUCAUAGUAAUGUAAAUAGGAGCAUGCUUAACUUUCUCCCAUGGAUAACAACAGGACCUAAAAAGUGUUUAACUUUGCCUAGUCACACCCAUUACAUAGAAGGAAGUUUCAUUGAAAAGCUGCGAAGCAAAGUUAGACAAGCUUCAUAGACAAGCUAUAUUUGUCCAGCCCUGAGUUUGCCUUUUUAUUAUUUUAAUUGUCUCACUCACAUCUUUCAGCAAUGAUGUGAAAGAUUCCUUGAACCUUUUAAGUGGUGGAGUUCUAUUUAUACAAUCCCCCUGAUAAAAGGAAAGUUGCAGUCUUUCCCGCGAUUCUACAUUUUGCUCCCAAGUAGAUCUCUGUGGGUUAGAACUCUUGUGUUAAAUAAGACCCUAUUUUAAAGCAAUAUCAAAUCCAUUUAGAAGUUUUUUUGGAGGGGGAGGAUGCUUUUAGGGUGGUUUUUUUUAGAACUUCUAAUUGUUGAGGAGAGUCUGCCUUGGCCGAUUUUUGGCUCUAGUCUAGGGAAGUCAGAAGCAGGGGGAGGUGGACAUCAGGGAGCAGGGGUAGGUGGCCAUCACCUUCCCCAGUCUCAUUAAUAAUCUUUCCUACAACCACCCCUAGUUCCAGGUAGGGAGGCUGGGAGACAUUCCUGCCAGAGGCCUUGAAGAAUCAUUAACAGUCGGAGCAGACAGUACUUGGGGUAGGGGGACCAAGGGUCUUACAGUAUAACAUAGCUUUGGAUGUCCAUAUAUACAAAAAUUGUAGAUAGCCUUAUUGGUCCAUAUAGAAAAAAAUCCAAAAGCUACAGUAAGACAAUACUACUGCUACUGCUACUAAUAAUAAUAAACCACUUUUGGAAACAAAAGUUUGCAAAGCUAUCCAUGCAGAAAAAUAAAUAAAUUGAUAGAGAAAUAAAUAAUUUAAAAAAUUGGUUCCCUAUCCGCAAAGCACUGCCAAUCUAAAAAUGGUCAAAAUGUUUGUUAGGAUCAACUAAAAUAUCACAAUAAGCUUUCAAAUUCUCCAGAACUAUCCUUCAGGCUGGAUGUUAAAAUAAGGCAAUCCUGUGUGUUCUACUUAGUGCUGCAAACCGAUCAAGUAAAAGGUGGAUUUUGCAUUUUCAGAACAAUGGGGGAACAACCAUUAUUGACCAGCGACCAGAUUUGCAGCAAAUUGUCACCUUGGAGGCAAACUGCCGCUCCCAGGGGGUUGAGAUUUUCUGAGUGCAAACAGCAGGGAGGGGGAGUGCUGAACCCACCCCCACCACAUGCCACAAUCUCAGCCUGGAUCUGAUGCCCUAUAGCUAAUUUUUAAAGAUAAAAGGACCACCUCUGGUCCACUUCCAGUUUAAGCCCAACUUCCAAUGACGGCUUAAUGUCAUGUGUAGUAAUCUAAUCAAGUCUGCCUAACACCUCUGCACUCUGUUUUUAAGACUGUAAAUGCCAGACUUUGGGGCUCUAACAUCAUGCCCACCUUUUUCUCCCCCUGCCCCUUUUUGCUUAGCAUCCAGCCUGAAGACGACUUCCAGCGAAAUCAAAAGUCUGUUCAGUGUCACCAACUACUCUGCAGCAUUUUAGUCGUGAAUUUGAAAUCAAGACAUUACCCCACUGCGAAUUCUGGAGAGUGCUCAGAUUCUCGUCAAGGAGGAGAAGUCUACUGAGAAUUCAUGUUGUUCAGUCUACAGCUCCCAUCAUCUCCAAUCACAACAGAAUGACACCGUUUGUGAACCAUGUGUAUAAGAAAACAGAUUUCCUAAACUUAAUAUAUAACCUUACUCACCUUUUAAACCUAUUCCUUCUUUGCUUUCAUGCACUGCCCAUGAAUAAGAGCUGAUAGGAAAUCUUUCAACUAUCUUCCCAACCUCGAUUUUCUAAGCGAUAUUGUCCUCCUGAUUUUCAACCUGUCUCCAAAACAUGACACCCUGGGCAUUGUUAGAAAAACAGACGGAGGAAGAGGGGAGAGAGCAAGACUGCAUCCAGAGCCAAAGUGAGCAGCAUAAAGGAGACUGAAAGGACUGUUAUCCCAGCACAUUCUCCUAAGAGAUUAACAGUAUGCAGUGGAGAAAAGGGGAGGGAGAUCUUUAACAAAGCUGCUUCUUAAAUGAGAUUUUACAAAACUACAGCAGAUGUGGGAGGGGAGCCAGAGGGGGACUGGUUAAUUAUUAAUCUGUUCAGCUGAUUUGCAAAGAAAAAGGGAGAGGGAAGCAGGAGACCAGAACAUUUUGGUGUUGAUUUCUCAUAGAGCACAAAACUUAAUUGUGCAAACCAAACCCUGGCUGACAACAAGAAAUGGCUAUAGACAUGGUAUCUUCAUUCAACUAAAUAUCAUCAGGAAUAUCCCUUGGAAGCUACAAAUGCUGAAAAGGUUUCCUGUUCCACUGUGCAUUUGUAUUAGAGAUCAAACUUAUGUAGUCUUAGGCUGGUUUCACAUGUUUGUUUCACCUGGCUGGAACUAGCAAGCCUGCUGCAGACACCUUGCAGCAUGCAUUUUGCUACUGAAGCUUAAAAUGAAACGGGGUUUGCACAGAGACUUAUGAGAAAGAACAACACAAAAUGGUGAUUUCUGUAAAGAGAUUACAAGUUACACAUCUUGCUACUGCAGUCACAUGUGUUUUCUGUCUGUGGUUCUUGUCACAUGUGUUUUCUGUCUUAAGUCUGAGACUCCUCUUCCUGCUCUCUGAUUGGCACAUAUCAGACACACCCACCUAGGGCUUGGCAUUUGAUCAUUCAAAAAAGAUCUGGUUGGCAACCAUGCAAAUAUUGUCAAGUAUUUUUUAAUGCAUUAACUUUAUUAGAACAAAAAAUAUAAUUUAACUAGCUGACCCUGCACAGAGCAUCUGUGCGGUCAUGCACUGAGCCUGUGGCAUUCCCCCCCCACACACACACAAUUCUCUCGCUCGCUCUCGCUGCACCCCACAACUCUCUUGCUGCGCCCCACAAUGCUCAGGCCCCCCAACAACUCUCUCACUCGCUUUCGCCGCCUCCGCAACGCUCUCUCUCUCUGUCCUCCGUCUUUCUAUCUCUGUCUCGCAGUCCUUGCUUCCCCCUGCUUCUGCCAGGGACUGUCACACACUCACCUGACAGCUCCGAGCUCCCUGCCGCUUCAGGGUGCAGGUUAGCCAACUGUCUGCCGCCCACAGCUCCCAGAGCCAACUGUCCAGCUCCCAAAGCCACCCCCAGCCUCUGAGCUCCUUGCCACUUCACGGAGCCCCCAAGCCAACUGUCAAACUGCUUUCCAGCCACCCCGUAAAACUCCCUGCUGCUUCAGAACUCUCUCCCCCUCUGUCAGCCAAUUGCCUCCUUUCUGCCACGCCCCCACGCAUGGCCCAUCUUGGAGAAUUAAUAAUAUAGAUCAUCAAGGUUAAUACUUAUGCGAAUUAUAAAAGCAGAUUAGUUAACUGUUAUUGUGAAACAAUGAAAUUAACUUUUUUAAAGUUUAAAGUUUCUAGACCUGAGUCCAGCUCCUCACAAGAGCUUUAAGGAACAGACAGCUGAACCACAGGCAGGGGCUAUUCACUGCAGCAAGCAGUAUGAAGUCAUGGGUGGUCCCAGGCAGUAGCUUUUGCUACCAGUGACAGCUUGCGGUCUUCUUCUUGUUGCAGUAGGGGCGAGUCUGAGAAUCUUUGCUAGCUUUGCCUGACUGCUACAGGGCUAGGGGGCAAGCAGCCUUCGUCCCUGCCCUUGCUAACAGAUGAUACCAUGACGACAUUUUAAGAGGUACGUCACCACCUACAUUAUGGCAUUCGUGGCUUAAUGGAAUAUUUGUCAAUAUCUGACAGCAGUCACAUAAUAGGCAAUCAAUUGACUGGUGUGCAAAGACCUUACAGCCACCACCAGUUAGGAGAGAGCAAGUCAGCAGAGUUUUUACAAGAGGUGCAGCAAAAAUCAGAAGUGACAAAAAUACAGGAAAGAGGGCAACUGCCACACCACUGGGGUACACACUGCAUGUCAUCUGUGUCCCACAAGAGUCACUGCUCUGGCAUGGAAGCAUAAAGUGGAGAAACACCCUUUCAGAUUACAAUAGGGGAAAGAGGCAGCAUGUGGCUCUUAUACUGAAGGGUUUUCUGUUUUUUGCUAAGUGGCUUGUGCUUGAAAAAGAGUGAAGAUCACUGCUCUAUACAUAGGAAGCAGCUAUAUUGAGUAAAUCCAUUGAUCCAUCUAGCUCAGUAUUGUCUACAUACUGAUUGACAGCAGCCCUCCAAGGUUUCAGGCAGGAGAGGAGUCUCUCCAGCCCUACCUGAAGAUGCCAGGGAUUGAUGCCGAUAAUCACAAAAGCAGAUUGAACUUGAGGCCUUCUGCAUGCAAAGCAGAUGCUCUGCUACUGAGCUAGGAUGCCAAACAAAGUUGGUGUAUUAGAAAACAGGAUUCCCAAACUUAAUAUAUAACAUUCAACCGCUCACUGUAUAAAAUCAGUGUGUGUAACCCAAGGAUAGGUGCUCCUGAACAAUAGUCACAUGUGGUCUGAAAUAUUAGGGGGCAGGUUAUCUCUUCUGCCCUGCCUAACUGCCUUGUUUUUCAGGUUGAGGCAGUGGCCAGGAGCGCUUUUUUUCAGCUUCGGCUGAUACGUCAGCUACGUCCAUUUCUAGAGGUAAAUGGCCUUAAAACAGUGGUACAUAUGCUGGUAACCUCCAGGCUUGACUACUGCAAUGCACUCUACGUGGGGCUGCCUUUGUACAUAGUUCAGAAACUACAAUUGGUACAGAAUGCAGCAGCCAGAUUGGUCUCUGGAACCAUAUGAAGGGACUAUAUAACACCAAUUCUGAAAGAACUGCACUGGUGGCCGAUAUGUUUCUGGAUUUCUGGGUGAAAUACAAAGUGCUGGUUAUUACCUAUAAAGCCCUUAACGGCUUAGGUCCUGGCUAUUUAAGAGAGCCUCCUUUGUCAUAAACCCUGCCGCCUGUUACGAUCUUCUGGAGAAGUCCGGUUACAGAUACCACUGGUGGCUUGUUUGGUGGCGACCCAGGAUUGGGCUUUCUCUGUGGCUGCUGUAGGGCUUUGGAAUAUGCUCCCUGCUGAAAUAAGAGCAUCUCCUUCUCUGUUUGUUUUCAGGAAGACCCUCAAGACUUUCCUGUUCUAGCAAGCCUUUAAUUAGAAUUUUAAUAAUUUGCUUUAAUAACUGUUUAAUAUUAUUGUUUUUAUUGUGUCUUGUGUAUUUUAAUCUGUGUUGACUUUUAAAUAUUUUAAAUUUUGUACACUGCCUAGCAAUGUAUAUAUCAGGUGGUAUAGAGAUAUGAUAAACAAGCAAACAAACAAGAUAUUGGGAUGGCACCUGUACUCUACUGAGCCAGGGAUGUUAUCAUAAUCUUGCCUUGGUAUCAAAGGACAGCCCUACCAUUUCAGGUCCAAACAUCAAAUUCUUAUCAUUCUUGACCCUCAGUGCAGUAGCCAUCUUAGCCUUUUGGAGCAAAAACAAUAAAAAGCUUUUGUGUCA
Long non-coding RNA from Hemicordylus capensis (graceful crag lizard), 9267 nucleotides. RefSeq lists it as uncharacterized. The record is from RefSeq and is a predicted model, not a curated record. The transcript has 2 exons. Lineage: Eukaryota; Metazoa; Chordata; Lepidosauria; Squamata; Cordylidae.